AACGAACGCUGGCGGCAUGCCUAACACAUGCAAGUCGAACGAGACCUUCGUGUCUAGUGGCGCACGGGUGCGUAACGCGUGGUAACCUGCCCUUAGGUUCGGAAUAACUCCCCGAAAGGGGUGCUAAUACCGGAUAAUGUCUUCGGACCAAAGAUUUAUCGCCUUUGGAUGGGCCCGCGUUGGAUUAGCUAGUUGGUAGGGUAAAAGCCUACCAAGGCGACGAUCCAUAGCUGGUCUGAGAGGAUGAUCAGCCACACUGGGACUGAGACACGGCCCAGACUCCUACGGGAGGCAGCAGUGGGGAAUAUUGGACAAUGGGCGAAAGCCUGAUCAAGCAAUGCCGCGUGAGUGAUGAAGGCCUUAGGGUUGUAAAGCUCUUUUACCCGGGAUGAUAAUGACAGUACCGGGAGAAUAAGCUCCGGCUAACUACGUG
RNAcentral lists this ribosomal RNA (433 nucleotides) under uncultured bacterium. RNAcentral's name for it is "partial 16S ribosomal RNA". It matches the Rfam family "Bacterial small subunit ribosomal RNA", at positions 29 to 507 of the family's 1533-position model. The record is from RNAcentral.